UAUGGUAUGUGCCAGCAGCCGCGGUAAUACGUAGGGAGCAAGCGUUGUCCGGAUUUACUGGGUGUAAAGGGUGCGUAGGCGGCUUUGCAAGUCAGAUGUGAAAUCUAUGGGCUCAACCCAUAAACUGCAUUUGAAACUGUAGAGCUUGAGUGAAGUAGAGGCAGGCGGAAUUCCCCGUGUAGCGGUGAAAUGCGUAGAGAUGGGGAGGAACACCAGUGGCGAAGGCGGCCUGCUGGGCUUUAACUGACGCUGAGGCACGAAAGCGUGGGUAGCAAACAGG
This 280-nucleotide ribosomal RNA is filed under the name Ruminococcus bromii. RNAcentral's name for it is "partial 16S ribosomal RNA". It matches the Rfam family "Bacterial small subunit ribosomal RNA", at positions 497 to 776 of the family's 1533-position model. Lineage: Bacteria; Bacillati; Bacillota; Clostridia; Eubacteriales; Oscillospiraceae. The record is from RNAcentral.